AACGAACGCUGGCGGCAGGCCUAACACAUGCAAGUCGAACGCUCGUAGCAAUACGGGAGUGGCAGACGGGUGAGUAACACGUGGGAACCUUCCCUAUGGUUCGGAAUAGCUCAGGGAAACUUGGGGUAAUACCGGAUAAGCCCUUCGGGGAAGGAUUAUCGCCAUUGGAUGGGCCCGCGUCGGAUUAGCUAGUUGGUGAGGUAACGGCUCACCAAGGCAACGAUCCGUAGCUGGUCUGAGAGGAUGAUCAGCCACACUGGGACUGAGACACGGCCCAGACUCCUACGGGAGGCAGCAGUGGGGAAGUAUUGGUACAAUGGGCGCAAGCCUGAUCCAGCCAUGCCGCGUGAGUGACGAAGGUCUUCGGAUUGUAAAACUC
RNAcentral lists this ribosomal RNA (379 nucleotides) under uncultured bacterium. RNAcentral describes it as "bacterial SSU rRNA". It matches the Rfam family "Bacterial small subunit ribosomal RNA", at positions 29 to 433 of the family's 1533-position model. The record is from RNAcentral.